UAAUACAUGGUAAUUUGAAAU
Caenorhabditis elegans is the source of this 21-nucleotide non-coding RNA. The record is from Ensembl. Lineage: Eukaryota; Metazoa; Nematoda; Chromadorea; Rhabditida; Rhabditidae.